RNAcentral lists this transfer RNA (82 nucleotides) under Burkholderia sp. Ac-20379. Its description in RNAcentral is "tRNA-Ala". Lineage: Bacteria; Pseudomonadati; Pseudomonadota; Betaproteobacteria; Burkholderiales; Burkholderiaceae. The record is from RNAcentral.
GCGGGGCCGGCGCAACCGGCCAGCGCGGCGGCCGCGCACGCCGCGAUCCAACGUUGUCGUGUGUUCAAGUCAUUCCCCCGCG